GACGAACCGAGCGAACGUUGUUCGGAAUCACUGGGCUUAAAGGGUGCGUAGGCGGGCUGCCAAGUUUGGGGUGAAAUCCUCCGGCUCAACCGGGGAAGUGCCUUGAAUACUGGCGGUCUCGAGGGAGGUAGGGGCGUGCGGAACUAACGGUGGAGCGGUGAAAUGCGUAGAUAUCUGGAGGAAUACCGGUGGCGAAGGCGGCAUCCUGGACCAUUACUGACGCUGAGGCGCGAAAGCUAGGGGAGCAAACGGG
This 253-nucleotide ribosomal RNA is filed under the name uncultured bacterium. Its description in RNAcentral is "partial 16S ribosomal RNA". It matches the Rfam family "Bacterial small subunit ribosomal RNA", at positions 524 to 776 of the family's 1533-position model. The record is from RNAcentral.